Dreissena polymorpha is the source of this 473-nucleotide long non-coding RNA. RefSeq lists it as uncharacterized. The record is from RefSeq and is a predicted model, not a curated record. NCBI's taxonomy places the organism in Eukaryota, Metazoa, Mollusca, Bivalvia, Myida, Dreissenidae. The transcript has 3 exons.
ACUGACCUGUGUACUUACGCGAAAGGAAUUGUGGGUAGCACUUCUUUUACAAGGCAAAAGCGAAAGAAGGUCAGAACCAUUUUGGCGGAAGCAUAAUUCCCCAAACCAGGGGAAUGUGAUGCGUCUAAGAAUAGAGGUGACAAUAACGUAGUGACGUCACCAUCUAUGUAUAGAAUGAUGGCCGAACAGUUGUCAUUCAAGUACGUCGUUGAGGAAUGCUUAUCUGAGGAUCCGAAAGAGGCUGGCUCAGAUGACGAGGAAGCUAACUUGGAUGGUGAUGAAAUGAAUAAGAGAUUUGUAUUGUAUUCUAAAGAUUGAAUAAAUGAAUGCUUCUUUGGAUGUUUUAUGUUAUGUUUAUCUGCAUUUUUAACAAAAAUGUUUGGGCUAGUAAAAUCUGACUCGGGCUUGUUCAAAUUCCCAUAGUACUAGCCCGACUUGCUUGUAGAUUUAAAUCUGAAUUUCAAUGACUGUAA